CUUGCGUCAGGAUUAAAGGCUCUCGUGCCC
Molecule: non-coding RNA, 30 nt
Filed under: Homo sapiens (human)
Lineage: Eukaryota; Metazoa; Chordata; Mammalia; Primates; Hominidae
Source: RNAcentral